RNAcentral lists this long non-coding RNA (917 nucleotides) under Homo sapiens (human). RNAcentral describes it as "HSALNT0122556". The record is from RNAcentral. Lineage: Eukaryota; Metazoa; Chordata; Mammalia; Primates; Hominidae.
CUUCCAGCUAAUGUUUAGGCAUGGCUAGAUGAAAAAUAAUUCAGAAAGAAAAUUGCAUCUCCUUUGAGUUAAGUGGCUGAGCUUGGCCUCAUCUAAACAAAAGAACUACCUUUGCUUUAUAGUGGUCAAAUUCAUUCAGGCAAAGCUUGUGAAAAUACUUAAAGUUAUUUCACCUGAUAAACAUUUAAUGUCCUCUUGUGAGUUCAUGAUAGGAGUAGGCAUCUAUUUGAGAACCUGCAGCUUCAUGAUUUUAGCCAUUUUCAUAUCUCUCUGUCACAGAUAUGACUAAUGGUUGGCAGAUUUCAGCAGCUGCAUAAAAUACAUAAAAUAUGGAAUCUGGGUUUGGGAAUCAGUUCCUGGAGAAACUCAAGCUGUAGGAAUAGUGAACUAUUCUGACGAGCAAUCCUUAGUGAAGAACAAAGGUGUCAUCAAUUCUAGUGGAUAUAAUCUGGCUUUGGUGGGUAGACAAGGGCUUUCCAGUCCUGAGCCAGCAAUCCAGAAACUCACACUCCAGAUGGAAUUGCACUUCUUGCUGGCAACACCUGUUACAGAGGACGAUGUUUUGCAGUGAAACAACCAGUUGUUUGGAGAUUUCUAUUUGGGAUAUCGUCCUGAUAUCUCUUUGAGAUGCUGCUUUUAGAACUGCACACAGCAUGAUCCAGCCUCCCAUUUAAGGGCCAGAGCAACCAUGACAGCAGGAUAAAGCAAAUGGGCUGGAGUCCUAAGGGGAGGAGUGCCACAGAGGUGGUCUGACAGCCUUUCAGUCUGGGACAGAACAGUCCUUCCUUCCUCUCUGUGAGCAGUCCAGUCCUGGGCUCUAGCAGUGGUGAUCGAAUACGUCCUGCUGAUCUGAGUGUGUCACACACACACUCACACCACUAUACCCACAGAGCUGCUGGGGACCUAAGGAAAAAGUG